Magallana angulata is the source of this 426-nucleotide long non-coding RNA. RefSeq lists it as uncharacterized. The record is from RefSeq and is a predicted model, not a curated record. The transcript is spliced from 3 exons. Lineage: Eukaryota; Metazoa; Mollusca; Bivalvia; Ostreida; Ostreidae.
UUUGAGAAAACACAUUUUUGGAAUAACCUUCUGCAACUUUAACAUCAAGUUCCGACAAGACUGCAACACGUUCGCUGCUAGAUUUUUAUAUAAAUAAGGAAAACGUCUUUAAUCUUGGAAACCUGAGAAAUGAAGUCUCUAUUCAUCGUGGGGGUUUUGUUGGCAAGCUGCUCCGUUUUGUUAACCGAAGCCCGCCUUGUGCCUUCAAGCGGCGGCUGUCCACCGGGUUUAGUUUUCGUGGGAGAAUGUUCAUUUCCGUUUGGAGGAUGUGCCGUGGGUAACUGUUACGAACCACACCCAGAAAGCAUAUUCAGUGGUCUAUGUUGUGUAAGACCUGGAUACUACAGGUAUGGGAGAUAGAAAGACGCACGGCAGAUCUUUUAUUACAUGUACAACACGUACUUUGAUGAAUUAAUAAAAAUAAAC